GCUCAGGACGAACGCUGGCGGCGUGCCUAAUACAUGCAAGUCGAGCGGACAGAUGGGAGCUUGCUUCCUGAUGUUAGCGGCGGACGGGUGAGUAACACGUGGGUAACCUGCCUGUAAGACUGGGAUAACUCCGGGAAACCGGGGCUAAUACCGGAUGGUUGUUUGAACCGCAUGGUUCAAACAUAAAAGGUGGCUUCGGCUACCACUUACAGAUGGACCCGCGGCGCAUUAGCUAGUUGGUGAGGUAACGGCUCACCAAGGCGACGAUGCGUAGCCGACCUGAGAGGGUGAUCGGCCACACUGGGACUGAGACACGGCCCAGACUCCUACGGGAGGCAGCAGUAGGGAAUCUUCCGCAAUGGGCGAAAGUCUGACGGAGCAACGCCGCGUGAGUGAUGAAGGUUUUCGGAUCGUAAAGCUCUGUUGUUAGGGAAGAACAAGUGCCGUUCGAAUAGGGCGGUACCUUGACGGUACCUAACCAGAAAGCCACGGCUAACUACGUGCCAGCAGCCGCGGUAAUACGUAGGUGGCAAGCGUUGUCCGGAAUUAUUGGGCGUAAAGGGCUCGCAGGCGGUUUCUUAAGUCUGAUGUGAAAGCCCCCGGCUCAACCGGGGAGGGUCAUUGGAAACUGGGGAACUUGAGUGCAGAAGAGGAGAGUGGAAUUCCACGUGUAGCGGUGAAAUGCGUAGAGAUGUGGAGGAACACCAGUGGCGAAGGCGACUCUCUGGUCUGUAACUGACGCUGAGGAGCGAAAGCGUGGGGAGCGAACAGGAUUAGAUACCCUGGUAGUCCACGCCGUAAACGAUGAGUGCUAAGUGUUAGGGGGUUUCCGCCCCUUAGUGCUGCAGCUAACGCAUUAAGCACUCCGCCUGGGGAGUACGGUCGCAAGACUGAAACUCAAAGGAAUUGACGGGGGCCCGCACAAGCGGUGGAGCAUGUGGAUUAAUUCGAAGCAACGCGAAGAACCUUACCAGGUCUUGACAUCCUCUGACAAUCCUAGAGAUAGGACGUCCCCUUCGGGGGCAGAGUGACAGGUGGUGCAUGGUUGUCGUCAGCUCGUGUCGUGAGAUGUUGGGUUAAGUCCCGCAACGAGCGCAACCCUUGAUCUUAGUUGCCAGCAUUCAGUUGGGCACUCUAAGGUGACUGCCGGUGACAAACCGGAGGAAGGUGAGGAUGACGUCAAAUCAUCAUGCCCCUUAUGACCUGGGCUACACACGUGCUACAAUGGACAGAACAAAGGGCAGCGAAACCGCGAGGUUAAGCCAAUCCCACAAAUCUGUUCUCAGUUCGGAUCGCAGUCUGCAACUCGACUGCGUGAAGCUGGAAUCGCUAGUAAUCGCGGAUCAGCAUGCCGCGGUGAAUACGUUCUCGGGCCUUGUACACACCGCCCGUCACACCACGAGAGUUUGUAACACCCGAAGUCGGUGAGGUAACCUUUUAGGAGCCAGCCGCCGAAGGUGGGACAGAUGAU
This 1471-nucleotide ribosomal RNA is filed under the name metagenome. Its description in RNAcentral is "bacterial SSU rRNA". It matches the Rfam family "Bacterial small subunit ribosomal RNA". The record is from RNAcentral.